This is a long non-coding RNA of Homo sapiens (human), 5122 nucleotides long. RefSeq lists it as uncharacterized. NCBI's taxonomy places the organism in Eukaryota, Metazoa, Chordata, Mammalia, Primates, Hominidae. The record is from RefSeq and is a predicted model, not a curated record. The transcript has 4 exons.
GUCUUUAGCCAAGUGUAAUCUGAUGAAUACAAACUAAGAGUUCUGUCCUGGGUUAACCCUCAUUCUUUUCUGUAAAAGGCUUUCAGAUCCACUCAGAAAGGUGCAAAACAAAUCUUACAUCUCUGGGCAGAGACAUGGUGGUGGCAGAGAGCAAGGAAUGGGGGAGGGAUGUUGGCCCAUCUCCUGAGAGCCACUGAUUGCCACUCCUCACUGUGGAAGAGCUUCUGCAGCCCUGCGCAUUGGCAGGCUCUCAGGGCUGGGUUGGGUUUAGGAAUUAACUUGAAGUGUUAAUUUUGUAAAUAUCUAGACAGGGUUGAUCCUCCACAAGAGGAGAGUUGAUCACACAGAAAGACCUAAAAGCCUUAGAGAGCUACAAAAGUGUUUCCCAACUGCAAGCCCCAUUUAUUUCUACUACACGACACGACCUCUGUGGAUCAGCAGCUGUUUCCUUUGCUCAGCAACUGAACAGCCCAUUCCCUCUUUGUUUCAACUUUGCAGGGGAUCACCAAUGGGGAGCUGAGAUACUAAAGCUCUCCAUGGGAAUGAAAGUUAAGAAGGGCACCAGGGAGGCCACUGGCACACAGGGUCUCCGUCUGUAACCCGGGCUGGAGUGCAGUGGCGCGAACACGGCUCACUGCAGACUCGACCUCCUGGGAUGGGAUCUCAUCAUGUUGCCCAGCCUGGUCUCCAAUUCCUGGACUCCUCCCACUUUGGCCUCCCAAAGUGCUGGGAUUAUAGGUAGCAGUCAAUAGUAUUGAACAAGAAAAAGCUGCAUGACUUUUAGACCAGAGGAGUGAGGACAGCACUUAGAGGAGGCACACAGCCAACACGUCCAGUUAACCAGGAUAAAUGAUUUAAAAGAACUUUGUAAAAAUGCUGAACAUAAUUUGCUAUCACCAAAUAUAGGAAUCUCUGAAGCCAGCUGUCUUGCUCAUAUGAAAUGCAAUGACAAGAUCCAAAUUGUGAGAAAAGGAAUCCAACUUGGUUGGAACAGGAAAGAAACAAAAACAAAGAACCUCUGGCCCAGAGUCAUUUCUGUUUGGAAAAAUUUCUGAAGAUUAAACUUAGGCCCUGAGUGCACCUAACAGUGCAAUCUGCAGGCUGCCAACGCGUAGCCGUGGAACUAAAUCCAGCAGCUCAAGGUGAGAGAAAAUUAAGUGGAUAGAGUCUACCUCCUUAAGAUACUCUUCUUAUCAGAGCUUCCUGAGACCUUCCAGAGUGAUGAGUUCCAAAUUACGUACAGCCAUAGGAAAAUAAAUAUUUGGCCAGCUGUAGACAUUGGAUUUACUUAUCUGUAGCCUAUUUCUAGCUUCAGAACAAUUUCUACUUCUACCUUAUAAUCCACCACAGCCCAGGAGUUUAAGGAUCUUUUAUUAAAGUAUCUUCACGUAGUUUAUUUUUUGAAACAAAAAUUACCACUAAGAAAAUAUUUUUUAAAAAUACUCUCCAAUUAUACAUAGUGUACAUGUGUAUGUGUAUAAAUACAUAACAUAUAUUUUACUUUCACACAGAGGUUAAAAUCAAGUCAGUGCCCUGGUCUACUCCCUAUGUGGAAAGUUCAGAGAGAAGGGUCUGAACAUGGCUUUUUCCUAAGUUUGUUAUAUUCCUUGGAACAUGUUUCACAGGAUGUUACUUAGGGCUCCAAUUGACUGGACAAAAUAAUCAUUACACAUACAGAAAAGAAAUUACUAAUUUCUUUAAUAUAAAAAUGUAUCUUACAAAUCAAUAAGAAAAGAUAACUCUAUAGGAAAAUAGGCAAAGGAAAUAUCCAGGCAGUUCAGGAAGAGGAACAAAAAGCAGGAAAUCAACAUGUGAAAACAUACUCCACCUUGCUUGUAGUUUAAAAAUUCAAAUUCAAAUGAUGAUGAGACAGAAAUUUUCACUUCCAGUUGGUACAGAUUUUUUCUUUUUUUUUAAGACAGAGUCUCCCUCAGUCACCCAGGCUGGAGUGCAGCAGCCUAGGAUCUUGGCUUACUGCAACCUCCAUCUCCCAGGUUCAAGCAAUUCUCCUGCCUCAGCCUCCUGAGUAGCUGCGACUAUAGGCACCCCCCACCAUGCCCAGCUAAUUUUUGUAUAUUUUCAGUAGCGAUGGGGUUUCACCAUGUUGGCCAGGGUGGUCUCGAGCUCCUGACUUCAGGUGAUCCAUCCACCUGGGCGUCCCAAAGUGCUGGGAUUACCAGUGUGAGCCACCGCACUCAGUCAGAUUUUUAAAAGAGGUAAAACCAGGAUAAGAUAUGAGAAAACAGUCGUUUCAUACAUUGUUCAUAAGUGUAUAAAUUGAUAUAAUGUUUUGUGUUGGCAAUGUUGCAAUACUUAUUAAAAUUGAACCCCACAUUUUACUUCUACUGUAGAAGUAAUUAUAGUAGUAACCUAUAGAAAACAUUCCCCUAAGUACACAAAGACAAAUGUACAUGAAUGAUGUACAUAGUUCCUAACAGCUAAACACUGGAAACAAACCUCUGAAAAGAAUUUGGUAGAUCUAUAUGUACUUACACAGAAAGGGUUCCAAGAUACAGCAACAUGUAAAAAGAGCAAGUUAUAAAAAUGAUUUAGAAAAUGAUUCAAUUUUUGUUAUAUGCAGAGGAAAAAAAAUCUAGUGUCAUAUAGACUAAAAUAUAAAUACUAGCUAUUUCUGGGGGUUGGCAUUUUGGAGUACCUUCCAUUUCUAUCUCAUGUUAUUUCUGUAAUAUUUGAUCAUAUACUAAGGGUAAAAGAAAAACAAUUUAAAAAAUAACAGUAUGAACAUCACUUACAUAGCUUUCUUGCCAACCCCCAGAAAUAGCUAGAUUAGAUUCAGGAUCAUGUUAAAUCUGAAGCUAAACAUGAGGAAACAACAAUCAGAUAAAUCCAGAUUGUGUGAGAUGCUGCAAGAUAACUAACCUGGACUCCUAAAAUGUGUCAAUGUCAUGAAAAAUGAAAAGAGUCAUGGAGACUGUUCUAGAUUACAAACAACUAAAGAGACCUGACAAUGAAACACAAUAUGUGAUAUCUGACUGGAUUCUAAAUUUAGACACACAUGAAAAAACAUUAUAAAGGACCUUCAUGGAACACAACUGCAUGGGUGACUCUACAUGACAGAAUAGUAUUUCUAGGAUCAUAUUUUGGGAAAUGCUGGGAUAGAAAAUGUCCCUUUAACUGAAGCUUAUUGUGACCCUUCAUGCUAGAUGUUCCUAUAUUUUUUUUUCUUAUUUAAUCCUGGUAAUUUACAGAAGAAGAUGAUGAUUUUCUAUCAAACUUAAACUCUAAUUAUUACUCUGAUUGUUGAGAGAUGCCAAUAUAUUCAUUUCUAGAAUAUCUUACCUGGUUUAUAGAUUUUUCAAUUAGUGCUUAGAUACCAACUGUAAUUUAUUAUCAAGUUGGGGAAUUUCUGAGCUGUAGGGGAUCUUAGAGGAAUUGUGGGAUCAACCCUUAUCAUUUUACAGAUGAGCAAAGGAACUCCGAUGGGCUAUGUGACUUACAGAUAUUUAAUUAGGAGAACCGGCUUUGGAAACCUAGCCUCCAAAUUCAGUAGUCUUACCAUAAAACUAUUAUGAUUUACUUACCCUUGCUGAAUGCCAGCAGUGGACAAGGCAUCAUAACGGCCUGCCCUAAGGCACCCUUCUGCCGGAAAGAGGCUCAACACUUGAGGAGGAAUUGCAUGACAAUCUUCAGGGAGCAAGAGCAUCCAACUCCCCGCACUUCUAAUCAUGCAGGCAGUCUGCCGAGUCCACGUUGCACUAAGGCAUGCCCUUUGCCUGACUUGUUUGUUACAUAAGAAAGCACUAGGAGUUCGAGCCAAUACUCUUUUUUCUUUAAAAAAAAAAAAAAAAGACAAAAGACAAAGCAAACUGACUGCUUAUGGAAGAUGGAUCACAAAAGAGUCCUAAGUCCUUUCCUUAUCCUCCUAAUAAACGUUUCCCUCACAACAUAUUUCCAGUAGGCCUCAAUCCAUCUGGUAGAAUGAUGGGGGAGAUUAAAUCAUUUGUUCUUUAUAAAAUGUGUGUAACACUUUCUCAACUACACUAAGACUCCAGAUUUAUACAACCCUCAUUUUAUAUCUCCCUCUGAGAAUAACCUCCUGAUUUACAGGAUUUAAAGAAGUCAAAAGCCCUUCUCCCUAAAGCAAUUUUCUUCACUGGCUUAUACCCAUUCUUUUUUUAGAUGGAGUCUCUCUCUGUUGCCCAGGCUGGAGUGCAGUGGUGUGAUCUCAGCUCACUGCAACUUCUGCCUCCCAGGCUCAAGCAAUUCUCCCUAAUUUUUGUAUUUUUAGUAAAGACCGGAUUUCACUAUGUUGGUCAGGCUGGUCUUGAACUCCUGACCUCAGGUAAUUGGUCUGCUUCGGCCUCCCAAAACGCUGUGAUUACAGGCAUAAGCCACCAUGCCUGUCCUUAUACCCACUCUUUAGGAGGCCAAUGGAAUGCCCCCCAAUGAUGAUAGUAAAAGGGUGACUUCCCUUGUUGAGGGGGUAGGACAGGCACAGGGCUCUUGAGAGCACAGAGAGCCACAAAGGUGACCAAGACCAAGGUUUGUAGAGGUAAGUCCAAGUCUAAAUAGCUGGAAAAGCACAUGCAACCUCAAAUCUGGAGACUACCAAGAUUGUGGUCGUGAAUCGAGGGUUUGGAAUUGAAUGGAAAUGGGUUGGCUGCACAGACAGGUCAGGGCCAGGCAAGACUGUCUUGGAAAAUAGCCCCAGAUUCUAGCUGGCAUGUGUCGUUUGCCAUGUGUGGUUGGCAGGGUCUUGUGUCUCGAAUUGGCUGAUGUGGCCAGGAUCAGGUGGGACCAGAAGAGCCACUGCACGAUCAGUGAACUACUGUUGAGAUCUCCAGGGCCUGAGUUAGGGUCUGGAGUGAAAACUGGAUCCCCACAUUCAGGGGGUCAGCAGGGUGUGAGGUCAAAGGUAAACCCAUUGUUGGUCUAAUAAUCAAAUUUGACAAAUCAAAAGAGGAGUAAGAAUCCAAGCAUGAAGCCACGGAGAGCAGGCAGCCCAGGCAGCCAACCUUAGAAGUGUGUAGUGCAGGGCUGGGGUGGAGAGGGGUUGGGAGGAUGCCAGGCCCAAAGAGUAGAUGGUACAGCCACUUUUCAUCGUGUUCCUGCUGUUCCGAAUGGGGACGUAUCUGUGUCAUUAAAAUACCACUGGACAUUU